AACGGCAUAGUUUAAUUUGAGAUACAUGCUCUGCAAGCAUGUGGUGGAAACUUGUUCUUCCUGCCGUUG
RNAcentral lists this transfer RNA (69 nucleotides) under Echinostoma sp. JM-2019. Its description in RNAcentral is "tRNA-Ala". The record is from RNAcentral. Lineage: Eukaryota; Metazoa; Platyhelminthes; Trematoda; Plagiorchiida; Echinostomatidae.